AUUGAACGCUGGCGGCAGGCCUAACACAUGCAAGUCGAGCGGAUGAAGGGAGCUUGCUCCUGGAUUCAGCGGCGGACGGGUGAGUAAUGCCUAGGAAUCUGCCUGGUAGUGGGGGAUAACGUCCGGAAACGGGCGCUAAUACCGCAUACGUCCUGAGGGAGAAAGUGGGGGAUCUUCGGACCUCACGCUAUCAGAUGAGCCUAGGUCGGAUUAGCUAGUUGGUGGGGUAAAGGCCUACCAAGGCGACGAUCCGUAACUGGUCUGAGAGGAUGAUCAGUCACACUGGAACUGAGACACGGCCCAGACUCCUACGGGAGGCAGCAGUGGGGAAUAUUGGACAAUGGGCGAAAGCCUGAUCCAGCCAUGCCGCGUGUGUGAAGAAGGUCUUCGGAUUGUAAAGCACUUUAAGUUGGGAGGAAGGGCAGUAAGUUGAUACCUUGCUGUUUUGACGUUACCAACAGAAUAAGCACCGGCUAACUUCGUG
RNAcentral lists this ribosomal RNA (484 nucleotides) under uncultured bacterium. RNAcentral describes it as "partial 16S ribosomal RNA". It matches the Rfam family "Bacterial small subunit ribosomal RNA", at positions 30 to 507 of the family's 1533-position model. The record is from RNAcentral.